UCUCUAUUGUGUCUUAAAAUUUUGCAAAUCCCAUGACUUCUCACGAGGAUUACCCAGGCCUAGGUUUUGCUAAAUUGAAACACAGCGAGACAAUCUCUUUCUGAAGUUAAUCAAGAGUGAUCAAUCUCAUCUUGACUCACACACUGACUUCACAAGUACUUGAUUAUACCUAAAAAUCUUUGGAACCUAUAUUAAAAAUAAAGGCAGUCUGGCACCAAAGCACAGUGAGUUGUUUGCAAGUUAUCGUGGUGAUCUCAGGUCGGAGGGACACUUAUACCUAUUGAUCUUAGCUAACUACUCUUGACAGUAGAGUAUUACAUUAGUCAUGUUCAAUACAGAUGUACUCCUACAUCUCAUUGGAUGCCAUACCAGUGUCUCCACAUCACUGGUUACGAGGACACCAACGUAUAUGGCAUACAGCGAUCUACACUUGAUAAGUUAUCGUCCUUGUUAAUAACUUAUCAUUUGAUCAUGAACAGUUUAAGAACCAUCUGAUAAAUCCUCUUUUAUCGAUUGAUUGUGGUUUUAAGAACUUCAUCAUAAUUUAGAAGUCCAUUUAAGGAAGAUAGAACUUUUAUGA
Molecule: long non-coding RNA, 580 nt
Filed under: Elaeis guineensis (African oil palm)
Lineage: Eukaryota; Viridiplantae; Streptophyta; Magnoliopsida; Arecales; Arecaceae
Description: long non-coding RNA (EGUI_LNC053563)
Source: RNAcentral